GGGGGCGACUGGUUUCGACAUGGUAUGUCCGAACCGGGGAGCAGGUCGUGGUCUCCUCGCCACGUUAAACAGGGGUACCGUCAAUUUAAUUGGCAAGAACAACUCCUACAGCGCUUCUGCGCUGCCCAUGGCUGCUUAAUUGCGCCAUGCCGUCAACUCCGGGUAUUUCCCCGUCCCGGACGCGACGUCAUCUCAGGGGAAUGCGCUUCGGCACGUAGCCGGUAUGGCCGAAGCUAAGACCGAACCGACUCGAGGGAGCGGCGUUUGCCGAUGAACCUCCGCUUCCUCUAAACGCGAUCAGCGGAUAAGCUUGUAGAGCCUCGGGGAGGGUAUAGUAUGGACCGGAGUUCGAUUCUCCGCGCCUCCACCA
RNAcentral lists this transfer-messenger RNA (370 nucleotides) under Eggerthellaceae. RNAcentral's name for it is "D16-34 sp910575165 Standard tmRNA". It matches the Rfam family "transfer-messenger RNA". From Rfam's summary of the family: Bacterial tmRNA, also known as 10Sa RNA or SsrA, is named for its dual tRNA and mRNA-like properties. Its role is to liberate the mRNA from a stalled ribosome. To accomplish this part of the tmRNA is used as a reading frame that ends in a translation stop signal. The record is from RNAcentral. Lineage: Bacteria; Bacillati; Actinomycetota; Coriobacteriia; Eggerthellales.